This 448-nucleotide ribosomal RNA is filed under the name Streptococcus cristatus. Its description in RNAcentral is "bacterial SSU rRNA". It matches the Rfam family "Bacterial small subunit ribosomal RNA", at positions 28 to 469 of the family's 1533-position model. Lineage: Bacteria; Bacillati; Bacillota; Bacilli; Lactobacillales; Streptococcaceae. The record is from RNAcentral.
GACGAACGCGGGCGGCGUGCCUAAUACAUGCAAGUAGAACGCUGAAGGAGGAGCUUGCUCUUCUGGAUGAGUUGCGAACGGGUGAGUAACGCGUAGGUAACCUGCCUGGUAGCGGGGGAUAACUAUUGGAAACGAUAGCUAAUACCGCAUAAUAUUGACUAUUGCAUGAUAGUCAAUUGAAAGGUGCAAAUGCACCACUACCAGAUGGACCUGCGUUGUAUUAGCUAGUUGGUGGGGUAACGGCUCACCAAGGCGACGAUACAUAGCCGACCUGAGAGGGUGAUCGGCCACACUGGGACUGAGACACGGCCCAGACUCCUACGGGAGGCAGCAGUAGGGAAUCUUCGGCAAUGGACGGAAGUCUGACCGAGCAACGCCGCGUGAGUGAAGAAGGUUUUCGGGUCGUAAAGCUCUGUUGUAAGAGAACGAACCGAGUGUGAGAGUGGAA